GUUAAACACCAUAGUGCCCACAAAGCUCAUUGCUAAGCUAAGGAUCCUGGGACUAAACAUCUCUCUCUGCAACUGGAUCCUGGACUUCCUGAAGGGCCGCCCCCAGGUGGUAAGGGUAGGCAAAAAUCUUCCACGGUGAUCCUCAACACGGGUUCCCCUCGGGGGUGCGUGCUUAGUCCCUGCCUGUGCUCCCUGUUCACCCAUGACUGCGUAGCCAAGCACGACUCCAAUGCCAUCAUUAAGUUUGCUGAUGACACAAACAGUGGUAGGCCUGAUCAUCGACAAAGAUGAGACAGCCUAUAGGGAGGAGCUCAGAUACCUGGCAGUGUGGUGCCAGGACAACAACAUUUCCCUCAACCUGAGCAAGACAAAGGAGCUGAUCGUGGACUACAGGAAAUGGAGGGCCAAACACACCACCAUUCACAUUAACAGGGCUGUAGUGGAGCGGGUUGAGAGCUUUAAGUUCCUUGGUGUCCACAUCCCAAUAAACUAUCAUGGUCCAAAGUUGCAUCACUGCCUGGUAUGGCAACUGCUCGGCAUCUGACCGUAAGGUGCUACAGAUGGUAAUGCGAAUGGCCCAGUACAUCAUUGGGGCUAAUCUUCCUGCCAUCCAGGACCUCUAUACUAGGCGAUAUUAGAGGAAGGACCAAGAAAUUGUUGAAGACUCCAGCCACCCAAGUCAUAGAUGGUUCUCUCUGGUACCGCAAGCAAAAGGGAUUAUACCCUCUGCACUUCGCUGCAGCUCUCACCAGGGCAGAGGGCCCAAAGAUCACAGAGCUGCUGCUGCACACCGUGGGAGGGAGUUUGAAAUAAAGCCCUACUCCAAAACACAGUCUCGACUGGAUGCACCACCAGUCCAUUAUCGCCUGCGCAGCAGUGUGGCCAAUGAGAGCAAGAGGAG
This is a long non-coding RNA of Oncorhynchus masou masou (cherry salmon), 901 nucleotides long. RefSeq lists it as uncharacterized. The record is from RefSeq and is a predicted model, not a curated record. The transcript is spliced from 3 exons. Lineage: Eukaryota; Metazoa; Chordata; Actinopteri; Salmoniformes; Salmonidae.